UUGGAAUUAGAAACCCCAUACAUACCCCCCUUUCUCUCUCCUCUUUUCCUCUCUGCCUCCUAUUUUCAUUUCUAUUCAUCGACUUAGGGUUUUCUCACCUUCUCUCUUUCGUUGUAAAGCAAGUUAUCAGUUUCCUCAAAUUGAGCGUCAUAUAUUAGUAGCUUUUCGUGAACAACAACCAUCAGUUUUUUAUGGAAGACGCUGCUGCAGCGAUUUCAGAAGCCUCAGUUCGUCGUUCGAUCAAAAAGAAAUAGAGGUGCGAAGUUGAAUCUUAACCUAGUGAGCAAAACCCCUACUGAUCUUGACAUAGAAGAUUCUGAUGACGUUCUUGAGGAUGUUCGCCCGAAAUUUAAGCGCAAUCAUGUUGUUGGAGCUGCAACCGUUGUUAAAUUUGACCAUAUUAGCUUGAUUGAUGGGAUAUCAAGGAGGAAACUGCUAGCUCUUGGCAUUACUAUCCCUAUAAUUUUUCGGUUCACGGACACCCCUAUCUCAUACAUCGCGAAGGGAGUGCUGCAGCAUUAAAGAAAGCCAGACUAGGAACAAUAACAUGAGAAUACAGAUUAGAAGCUACAAAUCGAGGAAGACCAUUACUUUUUAAAGUUUAGCUAAUAGUUUUUUCUCACCUUUCUUUACUCCCUAAUUUAUAAAUAGUUGUACUUAGUAGAUUAUGGUUUGUAGAAUAAUUUUGUAUUCCCUAAAAUAUGGUUUGUAACUAAUUAUGUUCAUUUGGUUAUUUAUAUUUCCAAG
Long non-coding RNA from Beta vulgaris subsp. vulgaris (sugar beet), 747 nucleotides. RefSeq lists it as uncharacterized. Lineage: Eukaryota; Viridiplantae; Streptophyta; Magnoliopsida; Caryophyllales; Amaranthaceae. The record is from RefSeq and is a predicted model, not a curated record. The transcript has 4 exons.